CCUACGGGUGGCAGCAGUCGAGAAUCAUUCACAAUGGGGGAAACCCUGAUGGUGCGACGCCGCGUGGGGGAAUGAAGGUCUUCGGAUUGUAAACCCCUGUCAUGUGGGAGCAAAUUAAAAAGAUAGUACCACAAGAGGAAGAGACGGCUAACUCUGUGCCAGCAGCCGCGGUAAUACAGAGGUCUCAAGCGUUGUUCGGAAUCACUGGGCGUAAGGCGUGCGUAGGCUGUUUCGUAAGUCGUGUGUGAAAGGCGCGGGCUCAACCCGCGGACGGCACAUGAUACUGCGAGACUAGAGUAAUGGAGGGGGAACCGGAAUUCUCGGUGUAGCAGUGAAAUGCGUAGAUAUCGAGAGGAACACUCGUGGCGAAGGCGGGUGCCUGGACAUUAACUGACGCUGAGGCACGAAGGCCAGGGGAGCGAAAGGGAUUAGAUACCCUGGUAGUC
RNAcentral lists this ribosomal RNA (446 nucleotides) under uncultured bacterium. RNAcentral's name for it is "partial 16S ribosomal RNA". It matches the Rfam family "Bacterial small subunit ribosomal RNA", at positions 338 to 795 of the family's 1533-position model. The record is from RNAcentral.